AACUUACAGUUCUGUUAGUGAAUUUUCCACUUACACUGGAAGGGUUCUUGUGCAAUUCGAGAUGGGUUGAU
This 71-nucleotide transfer RNA is filed under the name Hetaerina charca. RNAcentral's name for it is "tRNA-Val". The record is from RNAcentral. Lineage: Eukaryota; Metazoa; Arthropoda; Insecta; Odonata; Calopterygidae.